GGGUAGUCCACCGACUUGGAAGCCGACUUAGUCCUCCUCGAGAUAUUAAACGACACACCUCCGGGGGUGAACGAGACCGCGUUCCAGUCCAGAGCCCUGACGUCCGACACCCUCUUACACGAAAGUAGACACAGGAGCAUGACCAGUUUCCAUGAUAACUGCUUGAGUGUCAAGUCCUCAUUACAGGGCCAGGAGUCCAAGAAUCCAAGGACGACGUUAACGUCCCAAAACGAUGAGUAUCUAGAUCUUGGCGGUCUAGCAAAACGGAUACCUUUCAACAAGCGGCACACGAUAGGAUGUUGUCCGAUCGGAGAUCCGUCUAUCCCUUGAUGUCCGGCCGAAAUGGCUGAUCUAUAGACAUUAAGGGUACGAUAAGCCAAACCAGAAUCGAAACGUUCCGUCAGGAAAUCAAGCAGCGCAUUUAGAGGGGCAGAAAGUGGAUCCAGCAAUCUUCCCAAGCACCAGCCAGACCACACCCGCCAUGCGGUCCUGUAAGCCGCUCUGGUACCUGGUGCCCAGGCAUUCUCCAAUAGUCGAGCAGUUGUCUGCGAAACGUCCGUGACACACCAGGGUCUCCCGAGAUUAGCCAAGCCGUGAGUUGAAGUAAG
Pelobates cultripes (western spadefoot toad) is the source of this 608-nucleotide non-coding RNA. The record is from the annotation of a GenBank genome assembly. NCBI's taxonomy places the organism in Eukaryota, Metazoa, Chordata, Amphibia, Anura, Pelobatidae.